UUAGCAAUGGGCGCAGCCUGAUCAGCCAUGCCGCGUGAGUGAUGAAGGCCUUAGGGUUGUAAAGCUCUUUCACCACGGAAGAUAAUGACGGUACCUGGCCAAGAAGCUCGGGCUAACUCUGUGCCAGCAGGCGCGGUAAUACUACGUGCC
This 150-nucleotide ribosomal RNA is filed under the name uncultured Parvibaculum sp. RNAcentral's name for it is "partial 16S ribosomal RNA". It matches the Rfam family "Bacterial small subunit ribosomal RNA", at positions 365 to 536 of the family's 1533-position model. The record is from RNAcentral. Lineage: Bacteria; Pseudomonadati; Pseudomonadota; Alphaproteobacteria; Hyphomicrobiales; Parvibaculaceae.